Molecule: unclassified non-coding RNA, 282 nt
Filed under: plant metagenome
Description: partial contains small subunit ribosomal RNA, internal transcribed spacer 1, and 5.8S ribosomal RNA
Source: RNAcentral
UUUCCGUAGGUGAACCUGCGGAAGGAUCAUUAUUGUAUAACCGAGGUGCGAGGGCUGUCGCUGACCCGAAAGGUCGUGCACGCCCGAGUGCCCUCACACACAUCCAUCUCACCCCUAUGUGCACCACCGCGUGGGUCCCCCUUUGGCUUGUUCGGAGGGGGGCUUACGUUUUCACACAAACUUUGUAUGCAGUGUAGAAUGUAUUUUUUGUUUUUGCGAUCACGCAAUCAAUACAACUUUCAACAACGGAUCUCUUGGCUCUCGCAUCGUUGAAGAACGAGC